CCUACGGGUGGCAGCAGUCGAGAAUCAUUCACAAUGGGGGUAACCCUGAUGGUGCGACGCCGCGUGGGGGAAUGAAGGUCUUUGGAUUGUAAACCCCUGUCAUGUGGGAGCAAAUUAAAACGAUAGUACCACAAGAGGAAUAGACGGCUAACUCUGUUCCAGCAGCUGCGGUAAUACAGAGGCCUUAAGCGUUGUUCGGAAUCACUUGGCGUAAAGCGUGCGUAGGCUGUUUCGUAAGUCGUGUGUGAAAGGUGCCGGCGCAACCAGAGUACGGCAAAUGAUACUGCGAGACUAGAGUAAAGGAGUGGGAAGCGGAAUUCGCGGUGAAGCAGUGAAAUGCGUAGAUA
RNAcentral lists this ribosomal RNA (347 nucleotides) under uncultured bacterium. RNAcentral describes it as "partial 16S ribosomal RNA". It matches the Rfam family "Bacterial small subunit ribosomal RNA", at positions 338 to 696 of the family's 1533-position model. The record is from RNAcentral.